Molecule: long non-coding RNA, 1753 nt
Organism: Ictalurus punctatus (channel catfish)
Lineage: Eukaryota; Metazoa; Chordata; Actinopteri; Siluriformes; Ictaluridae
Exons: 2
Source: RefSeq, a predicted model, not a curated record
CUUUGCGAGCCUGUUUUUUGCUGGUUUUCCGGCAGCAGUGUCCAAGACCGGGGAUUGGUUUGAUGUCACUCUUGCUGACAGGAGGAGGGUGCAGAACCAGUUUAGGAGGACGUGUCAAACACACAGCCUUACCUGCUAAAGCUGGAUGGAUGGGACUGGAACCAUUAAGAUUCUUCACUGGCACUGUUGGCACGCUAAGAGCAACAACAACAAUAAAAUCAUAUGCCAUUUCUGAGAUAUAUAAAAAACAUUAAACCUUAACAUAAUACACUAAUCAAAUGAACUAAUGUACAUACACAAACAAAGAGUUAAAUCAUGUUUUUCACAAACUGGCAGGAUGUGAACAGAUACAUUUGACAUUGCUGAAAUCCCAUGUUGGCUGUACUAGCAGACCUGGAUUUGAACAAUGAAACUUAUUAUUACAGAGCAUUCCAGUUGCUGUGUGUCUAUUGACCUGGAUUACUAAAACUAGUAAGAAUACUAAUCCCUGUAAAUAGUAGCAAUUUUUUCGAGUGUGGCUGUCCACAUACAGCACUGGUACAGUUGUAACACUGUCCACAUAAACAUUCUGGUGUACUACUUAUUAUGCUAAUACACUUUGUUUCCAUUAACAUUUUCCUUAUUUUAAAGUGCAAGUAUAGUACUUACUGAAUAUGUGUGAACACAGUCAUAAUUAUGGUGUAUCAAUUUCUAUCCAAAUUACUCAAUUAAGUAAAAAUAAAAAUAGCCCUGUUCAUAUAUAAUAAUUUUAAAAAAUACAAAAAAAUGGAAAAUGUUAAAUGUCUGUUUGUGUCUGAAUCACAUGAAACACAUUGUCAACCAAAGUCUGCAUAUCUAAAAGUCUUCUGGUUGUCUCCUGCUCUCGUACAGCCCUAAUCCAUUAUUUUCCAUCUGGGGACUGACCGGACAACACACAAGCAUCACAUCUGCAACAGAUUGUAUGUACGUCACAAGCUAUUGCAAUAACAGCCCAUAUAAACACUCUCCUACAUUUAGACACACACACACACACAAGCCUACAGACAUAUUCAAAAACGUUAGCACCAACAGCUUUUUACAAAUAAUUGCCAACAGCAUAUCAUGGCUCAGAACUACUCCUUCAAAGGGAGACAUUUUUUGGAUAUGCAUUACUUUCAAUAAUAGGGAGGUAUUAGAGAGUUUACAUAACAGGGUGAAGGGCAGAAUAACAGACUUUGCUGUUCAUUUGUGAGGCCAUUUAAUAUGGACCUUGUGACCAAUGAGAGAAUCCAGAUUUUGCUACUUAAAGCUGGUUCAGCUGUUAUUUUUAAAAUUGCAAAUGGUCAGUAUGUGGUGUUGACCACCAAUGAACAUAAGGCAAUUGUGGUGACUCCAAUUAGCCUUUUUUUAAAAAUAAAAAAAAAUCAGCAGCAGCUUUACAAUAUUUGUGUUAAUCAUUGCUACAAUUGAUCACAACAUGAAGACGGAUCAGGAAAUGCAUACAUUUUUGUACACAUUUCAGCUCUUUGCCUUCCUCACAUGUGUAUAUUGAUAUCGAGGAAGGAUGGUGAAAAUGGUUCAGUAUCAUCUUACUGAUACCAGUUUAAUAAAAAACAGUUAAUAUAAUGUGUUUCAGAUGCACAGCUUUGUUCUUCCACACCAGCUAUUAAAAUUUGUUUAGUAAUACAUUAUCUAUUGUUAUUCAUUAUCUGUUUAUAAAUACAACCUUGUGUAUUAGCAGAGUGCUUAAACUGCAUUUUGAAUAGCUGGACAGGAGCAAUAUGAGACAGAUAGG